CACACACACUAAACCACAUUAGAAACACACACACACUUCACGUAACACCAUUGUUGAGAAGCUUAAGCUUUUGACCUCCGAUUUGAGCACCGAGACGAGCGCCGAUCAUCUUUUCGAUCACGUAUCUAAGUAGGUCCUUUUGGGAAGUAACGACUUGAGGGAGAGAGUGACGUUACUCAUUGAUACAGAGACACAACGAGGUUGAGCUGAUGUGAUGAUGGUGCUGCAAUGAGCGGAGUCUCCAGGGUUGUUAAUAAAUAGUUAACCUGUCUAGAAUAUGUCUUCAUACAUAUGUCUAGCUACUUUCCGCUGCAAGAUGUUGUUGAUGUUAUAGUAUGUUAUGUCAUACUUUGAGUCUUAAGAGAAUGGUUGCAUAUGAUGUAUAACUUGAUUAAUGAUAUUAAUUAACUUUUAUGCAGUCUUUCAUAGACUAUUUUCAAUUGAGUAUUAAUGAAUAAAAAUGACGAGUUUUAUUAA
Molecule: long non-coding RNA, 477 nt
Organism: Salvia miltiorrhiza (redroot sage)
Lineage: Eukaryota; Viridiplantae; Streptophyta; Magnoliopsida; Lamiales; Lamiaceae
Exons: 3
Source: RefSeq, a predicted model, not a curated record